RNAcentral lists this ribosomal RNA (274 nucleotides) under uncultured bacterium. Its description in RNAcentral is "partial 16S ribosomal RNA". It matches the Rfam family "Archaeal small subunit ribosomal RNA", at positions 473 to 747 of the family's 1478-position model. The record is from RNAcentral.
AAACCAGCACCUCAAGUGGUCAGGAUGAUUAUUGGGCCUAAAGCAUCCGUAGCCGGCUCAGUAAGUUUUCGGUUAAAUCUGUACGCUCAACGUACAGGCUGCCGGGAAUACUGCAGAGCUAGGGAGUGGGAGAGGUAGACGGUACUCGGGAGGAAGUGGUAAAAUGCUUUGAUCUCUCGAUGACCACCUGUGGCGAAGGCGGUCUACCAGAACACGUCCGACGGUGAGGGAUGAAAGCUGGGGGAGCAAACCGGAUUAGAAACCCCUGUAGUCC